UCACGCUUCUUGUGAGUAGGAUCUGUGACUGCCUGACUCUCCGCAGCACCUCUGCAGAGCCUGGCAUGUAGAAGGUGCUCAGUGAAUACUGGUUGAGUGAAUAAACAAGAAAAACCCUGAAGACCAGGAGAACAUGGUUAUUUUAUAAAACGUCACAAAAGGUAAGGGGAAAACAAACAGUGGAGAAGCGGGAGCAGCUAAUCUGUGAUCUUGAUGGAGAAGAGGUGCUGCGUAUGUAUCCAUAAUGAAAGACCAAGAUUGACAGGAGGAAGAUGGGCCAGGCAGGAGGGUAUAAAUAGCAGCGCUGGCUUAUUUGUAACUUUCAUUUUUAGAAGGACACCCUCAUACCUGUGAGACGGAGCAGCCGGGUGCAAGGCGGAAGGAGGAGCAAAGACCCCACCGAGUGUGGGGAGCCUUCAGGUUUGCGGCUGAUGCUAUGGAUGGGCCGUUAGCAGGAGAGGAGCAUGGCUAGCAAGAGUCCUGUGGCUGCGGACUGGCGUGGGGAGAAGUGGGGACCAGACACCACUCAGCAGGAUUCCAGGUUUCCAGGCUGGGGAGCGGGGAACUGGACAGAUGUGAAGAUGUUUAAGAAAUACCAGCCAGAAGAGAUUGUGGCACUCUCACGAUGGCUCUUCCGCCAUCCAAACAGAGCUGUUCAGGAUGAGAGAACCCUGGGGCACAGCUCCCCCUCUUCCUCCUGGGUGCAGCCCUGCUAGGGAUGAGACCAUCUGCAGCAGGAGGUGCACAGCCAGGCCCUGGGAGCUGAAGACAGCCCACAUCUCUCUGGGGUGAACUGUCCUGGAGCUCCAUGGGGCAGGAGGGGCACAGGGCGUUAUAAGCCGAGGUUUCCUAUUAGCUUGGCCAGGCUGAUUUAGGGGGGAACAGAUACAGAGAGGGGACAAAAACCCCCCACACUCUCCAGAGUCAGUACUUAAAACAAAACUGCCUCAUUCUUAGAAAGCACGAUGUCUCCAGUGCAGAGGUGGGGACCCUUAGGAAAGGGUGAUGCUUGCAUUUCCAGAGGUGUGCGUAUGAGUUCCUUUGAAAAGGUGCCUUGUGUGUUGAGGACACGAAGACCCCCAGGGCAAUGGGAACCAGGAGGCUGGGGGUCCAGUCCCAGCCUCGUCACCGACCCUCAGCGUGACCUUGGGCAAGUCAUGUGAUCUCCUGGGCUUUGGGCUGAGUGAGCCUUAAAGUCACUUCUGGCUGUAACACGCCAGGAUCUAGU
Molecule: long non-coding RNA, 1228 nt
Filed under: Homo sapiens (human)
Lineage: Eukaryota; Metazoa; Chordata; Mammalia; Primates; Hominidae
Description: HSALNT0360533
Source: RNAcentral